GAUCAUGGCUCAGGAUGAACGCUAGCGGCAGGCUUAACACAUGCAAGUCGAACGGUAACAUUGGUGCUUGCACCAGAUGACGAGUGGCGCACGGGUGCGUAACGCGUAUGCAAUCUACCUUUUACUGAAGAAUAGCCCAGAGAAAUUUGGAAUAAUCCUUCAUAAUAUCAUUUAUCAGCAUUGAUUUAUGAUUAAAGCUCCGGCGGUAAAAGAUGAGCAUGCGUCCUAUUAGUUUGUUGGUGAGGUAACGGCUCACCAAGACUACGAUAGGUAGGGGCCCUGAGAGGGGGAUCCCCCACACUGGUACUGAGACACGGACCAGACUCCUACGGGAGGCAGCAGUGAGGAAUAUUGGACAAUGGAGGCAACUCUGAUCCAGCCAUGCCGCGUGCAGGAUGACUGCCCUAUGGGUUGUAAACUGCUUUUAUAUAGGAAGAAACACUCCCACGUGUGGGGGCUUGACGGUACUAUAUGAAUAAGGAUCGGCUAACUCCGUGCCAGCAGCCGCGGUAAUACGGAGGAUCCAAGCGUUAUCCGGAAUCAUUGGGUUUAAAGGGUCCGCAGGCGGCCUGUUAAGUCAGAGGUGAAAGCCAACAGCUCAACUGUUGAACUGCCUUUGAUACUGAUAGGCUUGAGUUAUUGUGAAGUGGUUAGAAUGUGUGGUGUAGCGGGUGAAAUGCUUAGAUAUCACACAGAAUACCCAUUGCGAAGGCAGAUCACUAACAAUAUACUGACGCUCAUGGACGAAAGCGUGGGGAGCGAACGGGAUUAGAUACCCCGGUAGUCCACGCCGUAAACGAUGGAUACUAACUGUUCGACCUUCGGGUUGAGUGGUCAAGCGAAAGUGAUAAGUAUCC
Molecule: ribosomal RNA, 857 nt
Filed under: uncultured bacterium
Lineage: Bacteria
Description: bacterial SSU rRNA
Rfam family: Bacterial small subunit ribosomal RNA
Source: RNAcentral